This is a long non-coding RNA of Alexandromys fortis (reed vole), 1814 nucleotides long. RefSeq lists it as uncharacterized. The record is from RefSeq and is a predicted model, not a curated record. Lineage: Eukaryota; Metazoa; Chordata; Mammalia; Rodentia; Cricetidae. The transcript has 2 exons.
AAAUCAAAGCUGGGAAUUCCUGUGGUACCAGGUUCUUGAGGUCUGAGACGAGAUCAUUUGAGCCUGGGAAUCUGAGGCCAGCCUUUAUCUCCAAACAAAACAGAGAAGAGGCUAAGGGGGUGGUUCAGUGGGUAAAGGACUUGCUGCAGAAGCCUGAGGAGCACCCACAUAAAAUAGCCAUAUGGGCAUGAUGUUCCAGCUGUAAUCCCAGCGCUUCGGAGGUGUCAGAUGGUGGGGAGAAAAUCUUUAAGGCAAGCUGGCUGUCAAGGUCAGGGUCAGUGAGAGCCUUGCCUCACUGAAGUAAAAAGUGAUUAGCCUCUGACGUAUAUACAUAGACACACACAAAUACACAGACACAUUGCACACAUGGUACAUAUAUGCCCCUCUCACUUCCCAAAAAUGGAAGAAGGGUGAGUUAAAUUGGCAGCUGAGGGGGCUAGAAAGAUCGCUCAGAGGUUAAGGACACUGGCUGCACUUAUAAAUUCCUGAGUUCAAUUCCCGGCAACCACAUGGUGACUCACAACCGUCUCAACCAUCUGUAAUGAGAUCUGGUGCCCUCUGCAGGGACAUAUGCAGGCAGAACACUGUAUACUUAAUAAAUAAAUAAAUCUUUUAAAAAAUGGCAGCUGAUAUGGACUGCUCAGUGAGAGGGUGAGUGGGUGGAGAGCUUCCUGCUGACUUGUUGGGGAUGGUGGCCUCUACUUUCCUAUUGCCAGCCUUCACCAACCCUCCCUCCUUGAAGACAUCCAUAGCCUCUCUGGCAGGCCUCCACCACAAGGGACUUGACCCUCAAUGGUAGCCAUUACUCACAGAGGCCUCACAGCAGAUGGAGAAAGCUUUGCACUGUCUGACUUCACCUUCACAGCCUCCUGUCUUACACGCUUAAACCAUGUUCAGCCUUAUACUGCAUCUCACACUGCAGGGGUGUGCAAAUGUGUGCUGCUAUUCCUCACUCCUAGGCCUUCUUUCGUGGUGUGCGCUCCCUCUCAUGGCCUAGCAGUCAGUCUGUUUACUCACUAGCGAACUUUUGUGUUUUCUAGCGAACUUUUGUGUUUUCUGUGCCAUGCAAGUAGCUCUGCUGACUUCAGAUUACAUCAUCUGCAUAGUAAGCACUUAAGUGAAUGUCGAUGGAGCAAACCGCUGAAAACUACAGUAGUUUCCUCAAGUUCCUGUGCUGUGGAAUACAUUGCUGUCAUUCACACACUGCCUUUGCCUCUUCCCUGGCUUUCCUAUUUUAAAUCAUCCAUGACCUGCAUCAGGGUUAUCAUCUGCUAGUAUCUCAGUAACAGUAGCGAGAUUGAUCGCUACAGGACCUGGAAAUCACAUGAGGAAAGAACACCUUCUUGACUGGCUUGUGGAUAUUUCUGUUCUGUGCUGCUUUCUCUCUUGGGAAAGCAGUGUUCAAACCCAUCCAGGUGCACAGAUAGAGCAGUGCUCAGCAGUGUUCACACCCGUCCAGGUGCACAGGUAGAGCAGUGCUCAGCAGUGUUCACACCCAUCCAGGUGCACAGGUAGAGCAGUGCACAGCAGUGUUCACACCCAUCCAGGUGCACAGGUAGAGCAGUGCUAGUACCUGAGCAAAUGCAGACCCCAUGGUGCAUGACUCAUGGAGACUUACCAAGGAGCCAGUGUUCUAGCCCUUCUGCCAGCACCUGAACUUAAGGCUCAGUCUUUUUAGUCUGACUUUGAUGAGAAUUAAGCUCCCAGUCUAUCCCCAAGCUGUUUUUAAUUCUAAUUAAGUGGCUAACAUUGUCAAGUAUUUUUUAUAUAACAAAACCCAUUAUUUUAAAACUAAUUGGAUGUUGGUGCACACA